Long non-coding RNA from Sarcophilus harrisii (Tasmanian devil), 565 nucleotides. RefSeq lists it as uncharacterized. NCBI's taxonomy places the organism in Eukaryota, Metazoa, Chordata, Mammalia, Dasyuromorphia, Dasyuridae. The record is from RefSeq and is a predicted model, not a curated record. The transcript is spliced from 3 exons.
GCCCAAGACUCAAACACAAGAAAGAUACAAAAUUGGGGGAGAGGAGGCUUCAUUUUACUUGACAUUACUGAAAUCUGAAGAAUGAUGAUGACAAGAGACCAGACAUCCAACAGUAAAAUAAAAUCAGGUCUCCCCCAUCUGUAAAAAGGAGAAGAAUGGAUUGGAUGACCUCUACUGUUCCUCCCCAUUUCUACAUCUAUGUACUUCUAUUCACCAGAAUUAAUACCAAGGAGAGAUAACAGAUGGCUCCACGAGAAUGCACAUUUUCUGAACAGAAUGAAGACUUGAGCAGCAAAAUCCUAUAACUUCAAAGGGUCCAAUUUCAAGUUGGAGAAGAAGCAGGAAAGUAUUCAAUAAUAACAAGUUCACUUUACAGAGGAGGAAAUGCCAAACUAAUAUUUAAGUGAUUCAUUCAGAAUCACAUAGAACAGAAACUAUAUAUAAACCUAGGUCUUAUGGCUCUGGAUCUCUCGAUUCUCCAAACUGUGCCCAAUAGCUAAUCUCAUUUUAUCAUGAACAGCACUUAUAUCUGCAUAACAGAUCAAAGAUUAAGAGGGAUUUUUUU